Non-coding RNA from Eimeria mitis, 46 nucleotides. The record is from Rfam. Lineage: Eukaryota; Apicomplexa; Conoidasida; Eucoccidiorida; Eimeriidae.
UCUUAGGCUUCACUAGAAGCCACCAUUUAUAUAAAUAUAUCUGUGU